Molecule: ribosomal RNA, 517 nt
Filed under: uncultured bacterium
Lineage: Bacteria
Description: bacterial SSU rRNA
Rfam family: Bacterial small subunit ribosomal RNA
Source: RNAcentral
ACUGGGCGUAAAGGGCACGCAGGCGGUGACUUAAGUGAGAUGUGAAAGCCCCGGGCUUAACCUGGGAAUUGCAUUUCAUACUGGGUCGCUAGAGUACUUUAGGGAGGGGUAGAAUUCCACGUGUAGCGGUGAAAUGCGUAGAGAUGUGGAGGAAUACCGAAGGCGAAGGCAGCCCCUUGGGAAUGUACUGACGCUCAUGUGCGAAAGCGUGGGGAGCAAACAGGAUUAGAUACCCUGGUAGUCCACGCUGUAAACGAUGUCGAUUUGGGGGUUGGGCUUUAAGCUUGGCGCCCGUAGCUAACGUGAUAAAUCGACCGCCUGGGGAGUACGGCCGCAAGGUUAAAACUCAAAUGAAUUGACGGGGGCCCGCACAAGCGGUGGAGCAUGUGGUUUAAUUCGAUGCAACGCGAAGAACCUUACCUACUCUUGACAUCCAGAGAACUUUCCAGAGAUGGAUUGGUGCCUUCGGGAACUCUGAGACAGGUGCUGCAUGGCUGUCGUCAGCUCGUGUCGUGAG